This 272-nucleotide ribosomal RNA is filed under the name uncultured Syntrophus sp. Its description in RNAcentral is "partial 16S ribosomal RNA". It matches the Rfam family "Bacterial small subunit ribosomal RNA", at positions 1110 to 1382 of the family's 1533-position model. The record is from RNAcentral. Lineage: Bacteria; Pseudomonadati; Thermodesulfobacteriota; Syntrophia; Syntrophales; Syntrophaceae.
CUUAAUUGCCAUCAUUCAGUUGGGCACUUUAAAGAGACUGUACGGUGUUAAACCGGAGGAAGGUGGGGAUGACGUCAAGUCCUCAUGGCCUUUAUGCCCAGGGCUACACACGUGCUACAAUGGGUGGUACAAGAGCAGCAAGCUCGCGAGAGCAAGCGAAUACUCAAAAAGCCAUCCUCAGUUCGGAUUGAAGUCUGCAACUCGACUUCAUGAAGUCGGAAUCGCUAGUAAUCGCGGAUCAGCAUGCCGCGGUCGAAUACGUUCCGGGCCUU